RNAcentral lists this ribosomal RNA (1036 nucleotides) under Phaeosphaeria chiangraina. RNAcentral's name for it is "SSU rRNA". It matches the Rfam family "Eukaryotic small subunit ribosomal RNA", at positions 114 to 1161 of the family's 1831-position model. Lineage: Eukaryota; Fungi; Ascomycota; Dothideomycetes; Pleosporales; Phaeosphaeriaceae. The record is from RNAcentral.
CGUUUAUUUGAUAGUACCUUACUACUUGGAUAACCGUGGUAAUUCUAGAGCUAAUACAUGCUGAAAACCCCAACUUCGGGAGGGGUGUAUAUAUUAGAUAAAAAACCAACGCCCUUCGGGGCUUCUUGGUGAUUCAUGAUAUCUUUACGGAUCGCAUGGCCUUGCGCCGGCGACGGUUCAUUCAAAUUUCUGCCCUAUCAACUUUCGAUGGUAAGGUAUUGGCUUACCAUGGUUUCAACGGGUAACGGGGAAUUAGGGUUCGAUUCCGGAGAGGGAGCCUGAGAAACGGCUACCACAUCCAAGGAAGGCAGCAGGCGCGCAAAUUACCCAAUCCCGACACGGGGAGGUAGUGACAAUAAAUACUGAUACAGGGCUCUUUUGGGUCUUGUAAUUGGAAUGAGUACAAUUUAAACCUCUUAACGAGGAACAAUUGGAGGGCAAGUCUGGUGCCAGCAGCCGCGGUAAUUCCAGCUCCAAUAGCGUAUAUUAAAGUUGUUGCAGUUAAAAAGCUCGUAGUUGAACCUUGGGUCUGGCUGGCAGGUCCGCCUCACCGCGUGUACUUGUCCGGCCGGGCCUUCCUUCUGGAGAACCUCAUGCCCUUCACUGGGCGUGUUGGGGACCAGGACUUUUACUUUGAAAAAAUUAGAGUGUUCAAAGCAGGCCUUUGCUCGAAUACGUUAGCAUGGAAUAAUAGAAUAGGACGUGCGGUCCUAUUUUGUUGGUUUCUAGGACCGCCGUAAUGAUUAAUAGGGACAGUCGGGGGCAUCAGUAUUCAAUUGUCAGAGGUGAAAUUCUUGGAUUUAUUGAAGACUAACUACUGCGAAAGCAUUUGCCAAGGAUGUUUUCAUUAAUCAGUGAACGAAAGUUAGGGGAUCGAAGACGAUCAGAUACCGUCGUAGUCUUAACCGUAAACUAUGCCGACUAGGGAUCGGGCGAUGUUCUUUUUCUGACUCGCUCGGCACCUUACGAGAAAUCAAAGUUUUUGGGUUCUGGGGGGAGUAUGGUCGCAAGGCUGAAACUUAAAGAAAUGACGGAA